Molecule: ribosomal RNA, 406 nt
Filed under: uncultured bacterium
Lineage: Bacteria
Description: partial 16S ribosomal RNA
Rfam family: Bacterial small subunit ribosomal RNA
Source: RNAcentral
AUUGAACGCUGGCGGCAGGCCUAACACAUGCAAGUCGCACGAGUGGCGGACGGGUGAGUAAUGUCUGGGAAACUGCCCGAUGGAGGGGGAUAACUACUGGAAACGGUAGCUAAUACCGCAUACUAUAGGAUGUGCCCAGAUGGGAUUAGCUUGUAGGUGAGGUAACGGCGAACCUAGGCGACGCUCCCUAGCUGGUCUGAGAGGAUGACCCAGCAGACUGGGAAUGAGACACGGGCCAGACUCCUACGGGAGGAAGAAGUGGGGAAUAGUGCACAAGGGGCGAAAUCCUGAGGCAGCCAUGCCGCGUGAAUGAAGAAGGCCUUCGGGUUGUAAAGUACUUUCAGCGGGGAGUCGUUACCCGCAGAAGAAGCACCGGCUAACUCCGUGCCAGCAGCCGCGGGAAUUC